GGUCUUGACAUACCAAUGAUCGCUUUUGUAAUGAAAGCUUUUCUUCGGAACAUUGGAUACAGGUGGUGCAUGGUCGUCGUCAGCUCGUGUCGUGAGAUGUUGGGUUAAGUCCCGCAACGAGCGCAACCCUUGUUAUUAGUUGCCAGCAUUUAGUUGGKCACUCUAAUGAGACUGCCGGUGAUAAACCGGAGGAAGGUGGGGACGACGUCAGAUCAUCAUGCCCCUUAUGACCUGGGCAACACACGUGCUACAAUGGGAAGUACAACGAGUCGCAAACCGGCGACGGUAAGCUAAUCUCUUAAAACUUCUCUCAGUUCGGACUGGAGUCUGCAACUCGACUCCACGAAGGCGGAAUCGCUAGUAAUCGCGAAUCAGCAUGUCGCGGUGAAUACGUUCCCGGGUCUUGUACACACCGCCCGUCAAAUCAUGGGAGUCGGAAGUACCCAAAGUCGCUUGGCUAACUUUUAGAGGCCGGUGCCUAAGGUAAAAUCGAUGACUGGGAUUAAGUCGUAACAAGGUAGCCGUAGGAGAACCUGCGGCUGGAUCACCUCCUUUCUAAGGA
RNAcentral lists this ribosomal RNA (562 nucleotides) under Oenococcus oeni. Its description in RNAcentral is "bacterial SSU rRNA". It matches the Rfam family "Bacterial small subunit ribosomal RNA", at positions 977 to 1533 of the family's 1533-position model. Lineage: Bacteria; Bacillati; Bacillota; Bacilli; Lactobacillales; Lactobacillaceae. The record is from RNAcentral.